This 119-nucleotide ribosomal RNA is filed under the name Pteropus alecto (black flying fox). Lineage: Eukaryota; Metazoa; Chordata; Mammalia; Chiroptera; Pteropodidae. The record is from RNAcentral.
GUCUAUGGCCAUGCCACCCUGAACAAGCUCUAUUCUAUCUGAUCUCAGAAGCUAAGCAGGGUCGGGCCUAGUUAGUACUUGGAUGGGAGACCACCUAGGAAGACCAGGUGCCGUAGGCA